AACUUUUCAUUUUUCAUUUUCUCUACACACAAAUGGUAGCCCCAAGUCAAAUCCUUUACACCCAUACAAAUGUAAUCACCAACCAUAGCCCCCAAAAUCAAAAUCCUCACAAAUCACUUCUCUUAUAUAAACCCUUAGUUCCCAAAAUCAAAUCCUCAUAUUCACUUUUCUAUUACAAACUCUAAAGCCUAACAAAUCUCAAUCUCAAAAGUUUAACCCACUAACUAUAAUAUAUCAUCAGCGAACACCACACCAGCCCCUGCCUCUACCAUCAUGUUUGCAAUUGUGCUCUUCGUUCACUGUUGCUUCGUGAUUUCCUCGUCCACCUUUCUUUGUGUUUCCUUUUUGGUUUAUAUUGACUUGUUGUUGAGCUUUGGUGUUGUAAAAACUUGCUUUGAUAUUUGAUUUUUAUUGUUCCUGACUUGCUAUAGCAAAAUCAUGAAAAGCAUAAUGAAAUCUGAAAGGGAAAAGAUUCAGAAUUGAAAACUGAAUCGAUAAAUUAAAUCCAUCGACUUCGAUUCAGUACUUUUUUUUUUUAGUUCUUUAACAAUGGACACUGAACUGAAAUUUUCCAAAAAUGACCCAAUGCCCACUUUUACACUAUAUAGCAUUGGACUAAUACGAUAAUAUGGUUGGUGAAAAAAAUGAAAGUAUAAUAUCACUGUUGUAAUGCUACAAAUCACACAUUAACAAACUUGUGAGGGGCUCGAGUUUACGCAUGAUCAAAAUAUAAAAGUUAAAAUUAAAUUAAAUCUUUUAUUUCUUUUCAUCAAAUGCAAGAUCCAACCACGAAAAAAAUACUUAAUCUUCCCUUCCUUCGUCACGACGCCAUUACCUAGCCUAUCAUAAUUGCUCAAAACCGUCACCAAGUCCAUCAUUGUUGCGCCUUAACAUUGUUGUGCAACACCACAAUCCGUAGCCGCUGAUCCCCCUUGUCUGCAUCAUGCGACACCACAAGCACAACUUCACCACAACUGUGCUGCCUUCAUCGCCUCAUCAUCAAGCAACAGGUUAGUGUUAGGUUUUAAUUAUUAAAUCUUAAAUUAAUUGGAGGUUCAUUUGAAUGGUUGAUUAUUCUACUAAUUUGAAAUUGAUUUAUAAAUCUUAAGGCUUAAAUCUCAAGAUUGAACUAAUAUAAGGAAUUAAUUUGAAUUGUUAAUUACAUUUAUAGUUAGACUAAAGCAAAGAGAUCUUAUUGACAAGGUGUUGAGUGCUGCAUAUUUAUAAAGGAUAAAAUUGUUAUUUUGCGCUCCAAGUCUCACUAACAUUUCUAUUUUUAUGUAUUUAAGUCUUUUAAACUUUGAUUUUGUGUGUUAGUUAUAAUCUAAGUAUUUUAUGUAUUUCAAGAGUAUUUUGGCCAUUUUACAAUUAAUAAGAAAUCAUGUAGCAAAACGGAUUGCAUUUUUUAGCUUAGAACAGUUGAAAACCUCCGGAAGAGCAUAAAGGGCAAAAUUAUAAUUUUAGAUUUUGGAGGGGCCUCGUUUAUGUGGUAUUGACCAGCUGAUGUGGCAUCGAUUGAUGAUGUGGUAGCAUUUUAUUGGACUGAAAAAUACUGGUGAGGCAUUGACCAAUAAAGUGCCAUUGACUAAUGACGUGGUAGCAUCCUCUUGAACCGAUAAAUACUAAUGUGGCAUUGACCGAUGACAUGGUAUUGAUUGAGAACAUGCCACUAUCCUAUUGGACUAAAUGAGGAAUUGACAUAUGAUGUGGCAUCAUAUUAUUGGACCAAAUUAUAGCCCUGGUGAUGUUUUUGAGCCAAUCAAAACAUGCCAUGUGGCGCAAUCCUGAGAGUCUGAAUUAUUUUCAUCCCAUGGCCAUGAUUUACCCAUUGUAUCUAUAAAUAUGCAGCUCCCCCCUAAUUUGACAACUCUGAAUUCAAAUUUGAGCUCCAUUUUGUGUAAUUCUCACUUUAUCUUGUAAUUUCUACAUAUUUUAAUAACAUUACAAUUUUACUCCUAGUUCAAAUAUGAGUGGCUAAUUUAUUUUCAAGCUUGGUUAAAGGCGAAGCCUCAAUAUGAUUGAUGAGCUUAAUUUGGUAAGUUUAUGCACCCUCUCUAAUUUGAUUGGAUUUUUUUGACUUAUCAUUGACAAACAGUAAUAAUCUUGUCUAGAUUUUGCAGGGUAUACCUGCUUCUUAGUGUAAGAUCAUUACUGUUUGGCACGGUGAGCACUUUACAUUGUAUUAAUUAGAGAAAAAUUCCCCUCUAGUAUUUGUGGAUUAUCUUGACUUAGUGUUCACAGAGAAUGUAACUAAGUUAUUUAGUAGGCAGUCUUACCACAUUGUCGACAGUAGGAUAAUUAUCACCUGGUAUAACGUGUACUUCACAAAGAAUGUAUCUAAGCCCAUGAUGAAGUGUUGAGUAUGAAUUCAAAGAUGCAAGUGAUUCAUUUGAAUUGAUUCAUCUUUAAUUUAUUCCCACCAUUUAUUUUAAAUCUUAAUAUUGCUCAAAAAUCAUCUCUAACUACUUCACAACAAACUUAGAAAAGUAAUCCUACACAUAAUUAAAUCUACCUCCUCUUGGGAUCGAAACUUGUCACUACUAAUCAAUAUUACAAUAGAUUCGUGUGCAUAUGAGCACAAGAAAAUUUGCACAACAUAGGGGCACAGCCAAAAAACAAAUUUGGUGGGCUAAAUUCUUUAUAAGUACAAAUAUUAUCUUAAUUGAAAAUAUAAAUCUUAAUGAAAUUUUCAUUAAUAUAUACGAAAAUACAUCAAAUCCAAGAAGCAAUUCAAUUUAAAUUAUAUGCUAUUUAAGUUGUGCCUUGCAAUAUUUUCAAGAAUUAAAUUCAUUUAUUAUUAAAUUCCAAUCGAUAGUGUCAACAAAUUCUCUUUCAAUGUAGAUAAUCAUACAAUUUAAUAGAAUUUUUUUCUCCAUCUUAUUUCAAAGUGUUGUCUUGAAAAGUAAAGUAGUAAAACCAUAAAAGAAGUUAAAAGAAACAAUCACAGAUAAGUUUAAUUAAAAAAUUAACAAAAGCCAUACAACCAUUAGUCUAUCACUAUGACAGAUUCACAUUAUCCAAAAGCCAAACAAUAAGUGUAUUUUAUAAAAUAACAUUAUAUAUAAUAUACUGGAUUGAAUCUAUCUAUCUCUAAUCUGAAAAUCAUUUUUCCUUCUGGAGGUAAAAUUUUGAGGAAAUAUUUUAUAAGAUCACUAAAUAGAAAAUUACUUAAUUUAAUUAAAACUUUUCUUAAAUAAGUUUCUUUUUCUCAAAGAAUGUCUUUAAGUGCCAUAGUUGCAACUUGCAAGCCAGAAAUAUUAAUGCAUAUAAACAGUGAAAACCCACUAAAUCCGGCUAUUCUAGAGUUAGUAACACGGUUCAGCUCCUGCAAUUCUUCUUCUCUUGCAUGGAGAUAAAACAUCUCCUGGUGAAUAGAACUAUCUGCAAUCUAUGAACUAUCAAUAAUUAAUUUAAAAUUUUGAUUGCUAGAGCCUAGAAUUCAAUGGUUAAAUUAGUGACCUAACAAUAAUUUAAUCUUACACAAUGAGAUUAGAACAAAAACUAACGAACAUGAUUAAAUAAAAAAAUAAAAUAAAUUUAUUAUCUAUUUGUAUUUCUUACCAAGAGAAGAGGAAUAAGAAGCCAAGAAAGGGCACAAUCUGGAACUGAAAGAAUGAAGUAAAUGCUCACCUUAUUUAUUUAUAUGAUUGGCAAAAUCGUAAAUUAAUAUAGUGGUCCAGUUGUAAAUAAAAUUAUAAAACAAUGAAAAUUUAAUUUUCUGCAAUGGUAUUUUUUGUAAAUGUUUCAAAAAUUUGGACGAGCUACAGCCCACACACAGUUGCGCCUCUCCUUAUUGAUGUCUAAGUACUGAAAAUCUAAACUAUAUAUAUAUAUAUAUAUAUAUAUAUGUAUGUAUGUAUGUAUGUAUGUUGCUUCCCCAAUUUUCUAUUGUGGUGUUUACUCAAGGGGCAGUGGCAUAUACUAUCCAAUUGCAUAUCGGGUUUGGCUGUUAGAUCUUUUUAUUUUUUUCAUUGUAUUUAUUUGAUGUUCAAAGUUGUAACUUGGACAGUUGGGCUGCUCCUAGAAAACUUAGAAAUUUUGUAUAAAUGCAGAUGUUCAAAAUUUGUAUAAAUUUGUAUAAAUGAAGAUAAUGUAAUCUUUAAAAAUAUUUGUAAAUGUAUAAUUUGACAUUCAAAGUGUAUUAGUUAUAAGAAGAACUAAUGCAUAUUGAGAAACAUAUUAGCAAGCAAGUAAUAGCUUAUACUACGGUUAUUGUGUUGUAAACCACGAAAGAACUAUGGACAGUGUUGAAACCUUUCCCACAGUAUUAUAGAUCAAUUCAAGAGAAGCUUUUCUUCCUGAAUGCUAUACAAUUCAAAAAAUAUAAGUUGGGAUGUAGAUGUAACUAUUAGAAGUUCUGAAGUUGCCUAGAUGCUGUGAUUCGAAACUCAGGAGGAGAGUUAGCGGCGAAAGCAGUGAAUAAAAUUGAAUUUAUAGAUGAGUCUUACAAAACAAAGCCUAAGGCCAUAUCGUUUGGCAUCAAUGUGGCCAAAGAUUCAUUCUUAUUAUGGAUCUUGUAAUUUCUCUAAGGAUUCAUUCUUAAUCUUAUAUUAUUUGCAGUGUAACAAAUACAUUCUUCUUGGCGAAACUACUUUCCGCAAUAAAUGUGUAAAAAAUCCGACGUAAAUAAUAAAAAUGUAAUAUAUAAAAUAGAUAAUUUAUUUAAAAUUUCCCGCAAAUACCAAUAACGCUCUCGAAACCAUUCUUGAUCCUCGACCUCUGAAAACCUAGUUCGCUGUCCUCUGCACUCUUAAUCCCUAAUUCUUCAAUUAAUUUAAUUGUAAAGUGAGUGGGAAAAGGGAAGGCGAAGAUAAUUUUCAGUUAAAGCUUCAGGAUUGGAGAGAUCUUCAAUUCAAGUUCUUCAUUAAAGCAGUUUAAUCCGGUGAGUUUAAUUUUCUUUUCAUAUGAUUAAAUCUUGCUUUACAUUCUUUUUAGAUAUUCUCCACAAAAUAAUCAAAUGAUUUAAUUGUAAAUCUUUUAUUUCCUUUUUGCUCUUAUAUAUAUACAGAUUUUGAAAAGCUUUUCAGAUUGUUUGUUCGAUUUGUAUUCGGCCCAAUCUCUUGAUUAAGGAUAGGGUUUUCUUCUACAUACUUUUAUCUAGACAUUGAAGUUCGUUAAUUUAUAUAUUUAGGUGGAAAUUGUCACCAAGUUGUAUAUUUUUUGAAAGGGUGGAUUAAUAAUUCCCAAUGAUUCUAGUAUCAUUUUAGUAACAAAUUAAUAGAUAAGUAUCUGAGCUGUUCUAUGACAAAUUUAAUAUCUGAGCUGUUCAAAGUUUUAGCUUUCUUGUUGAUCAGGUUCUUAUAUAUUUCUAAGUGACAAGUUUUGCAGUAUCUACUUUGUCUCCUGAGAAAAGAAUUUUUUUAUCAAUCCUGUGAAUAAGCAAAGUUUUUAAGUGAUGCCUAAGCCAAAUUAAUAUAUAUUUUGCAUGUAACUAAUAACAGCACUACCUUGACUUUGGAGAAAAUUCUUCAAUGAAAGUGCUUUGACAAGAAUAUACAGCUAGCCAGGAUAUUAGUUUGUCCAUCAAAUGCAAGAAUCUGAAUCUCGUCUUGAAGUGCUCAUUGAAGUUUUGAUAAAGUGUCUUUUGAAGCUGGUUUAGAGUAUUACUUACGCAUAUUUGAGUAUGAUACACUUGGGACCUAUGUGAAAGCGGCUCUUAUUUAUCUUGGGAUAGCUCUUGUUAAGGUUAGUUAAUGUGGUUAAUUAAUUAUUUAAGCUAGAUAAGCUAUGAAUUAACUAAAAUUCAACUUGUUACUCAUGAUUGUAACUUGUUUAUUUGGCGACUUUUGUUAAGGUAACAAUUUCAUUUCUUAUUAGAUAUUUUUUGUCCUUUUAUUUUCAUUUUUUUUUUGUUUUACCUUGUAAUUUUUUGCUGACUUUUAAGUAUCUUAGACAGCUAGAUAAUACAUGUAAUGAGAGCGUAGUAGGCAAACUUAGAUUUCAGCUUCAUAGGUAUUCAAUCACUAAUAAUUGAUUAUUGUCUUCAUACACUUGUUGCAUUUCUUCUUUUUUUUUAAGUCUGUUAUACAGAGAUGUUACUGACAUUAUAUCAGACAUUACAAUUAAUAUUUACAAUCAUAUUAUAUAAUUGGAACCACCGCCAUACAUUGACACACUGAAGCACUUGCCCAUAUAUUUUAAACCCUCUCUAAUAUUCGAGGGGCACUUCACUCGCAUUUCGUAAGGGAGAGACUGUCUCCACUCAAUUAUAUUGAUAAUUGAGGGAGUAUUGAAAUUAACCCCCAUAAAGCUCUAUGGAGGCUCGAACCCUUGCACUCAACAUUGUAAGUGCAAGACUUCUCCCAUUGGACCAAAGUCCCAUUGGUCACUUGUUGCAUUUCUUAAGUUUGUAGUAAUCUAUUCUAAGCAAAUUUAUAUUUAUUCUUUGAUAAUUACAUUUAAGAGAUAUUAGAGGUACAAAGAUUUUCCAUAAAUGCGUACUAGGCAUAGGAAUUGAUCUAAAAUGCUUGUUUAUGUUAUGCAUUCUGGUUGAUAGUUCAGGUAAUGCACUAGCUAAGUUCUUAUGGUUCAAAAAAGAUAAAAGUACAUGUUACCGAAUUUAUCUUCAAUUUUCAAUGUGCUUAAUCUAACUAAUAAUUCAACAUCCCUAGAUCAUCGUUAAUGACAUUGUUCAAUAUCAAUUCUUGUGAUUUUACUUUUGCUGUUAGCAAGCAAAAAUGACUGAGAAUUAUCCAUUUUUCUACUCAAGCACAUUGUUGAUGAGUUCAACGGGAUCACUCAAUCUGUUCUUCAUGCCAUAUAUGUAACAACUGUUACUGCAUGAUUAAUUUAUAGACACCAAAGUUGGCAUAGUCACUACAAACAUUUAUCAGUAUCAUUGAUUUAGCCUUUCUUUUUUUAAUUUGGACCAACCUAGUUAAUUUUCAUGGCAUUGGUUUGCAGGGAGCUCCAUGUUGACCAUUACAUAGUUGGCAUGGUGCAUAGAAAAGAGAGACCAUCUAUUUUUCUAUCUAUUUUCAGUCCCAUCAUGCUUUUGGUGACUGCAAUUGGAAGCUCCCUGAUUAUCCAAGAAACUAAAUUUAGGAAGGUGUUUGAUGUUGCCUACUCUCCUUUUAUCUACUUUUUGUAUAUGUUGGCAACAUUUAGUUGAUAUCAGCCCAUCGUUAGAGAAAGAAUAAUUAAUUAGUUUCCUCUUAGCCUUUAAUAAUUGAAUCAACUCCUAAGUCUUUUUUCCAUUCUAAUUUUAGGGAUAAGAAGAUACGAACCCUGUCAAGAAUUGAAGCGACCCUAAUCAAUUUAAUCCAUAAGAUCGAAUCUAAGCCAGUAAUUGAAUGGAAUUGCAACCUAACGCUUAAUAAAAGCACGAACCUUGGUAUUUAAGGACGCCACAAUCAGCUAUGGAUGGUCUGAUUGAUAAGUUAAGAGUUUGAACGCUACGGAAAUCUAAUAAGUUCAAAGAGUUUGUAUAAGAAUCAAAGAGAAUUAACUCUCUCACCAAUUACAUCAAAACUUAUCUCUAUUUAUUGGAUACGAGAACAUUUUAUAGGGUUAGUUACAAGAAUUUUUGGAAAUAAAACCUAAACUAAAAUCAAAUCGGAAUCUGAAUCUAAACAAAUAGGAAAGAAUAUAAAUCAAAUAAAAUCCUAAUCUAAGCGAAUAGGAAAGAAUCUAAAUCAAAUCAUAAUCCUAAUUGGCAUAAAUGCCUUACAUAAAUUAAAAUGGAAACUAGGCGAUUAAAAUAAAAAUAACUUAUUUGUUUCUGUAAUAGCCUCCUCAAGAAACGGGAAAGUAUCCGAAAAAAGAAAAUAAUAUAGUUUCUUGCCAUAAUGUGCAAGCCAACUUCCUAUUUCAUGGAAGUGAUUAUUUGGAAAUUUUAAGAACCUAAAUCAUGCAUUUAUCAUGAACGAUUCCUUAAACGGGUCUCCACGAAUUUGAUUGAGCCCAAGUUGCUUGAAUCAAUCCAUUAAGCGCUUCUUUGAAUUUCUUUGCUCGAGCUCUUGUAACGGAUCCAAUAGGAACUUGAAUAGGAUCUGAAGAUGGCUCAUCCCACGUGCUUGUAAUAAUUUUAUCCUCAAUCUCAUCAUUACCCUCCUCUUGAAGAAGAUUUAUCCUCAAAUCAUCACAUGCAUAAAAAAGACUCAAAUAAAAAACAUUAAAAGUAGCACUUACGUUGUACUCACCAGGCAAAUCCAGCUUGUAUGCAUUGUCAUUGAUUCAUUCCAAAACUUCGAAUGGACCACUCACUCGAGGUAAUAACUUAGAUUUCCUUCGUUCCGGAAAUCGUUCCUUGCGCAUGUGCAACCACACCCAAUCGUCGGGUUCAAAGACUAGCUUAUGUCGCCCUUUGUUGGCUUGUUUAGCAUAUUGCUCAAUUCUCCACUCAAUGUUGAACUUCGCCCUCUCGUGUAUCUGUUUAACAAUUUCAACCUUUUCCUUACCAUUUUUCUUGUAACGAAUGACAUAUGGAAACGUCUCUAUAAAUUCUACCCAUCAAGCAUGCCUCUUGUUUAGCUUGUGUUGGCCUUUAAAGUGUUUCAAGGACUCAUGAUCUGUGUGAAUCACGAACUCCUUCGGUCAUAGUUAGUGCUACCAUGUUUCUAACGCUCGAACCAAUGCAUACAACUUCUUAUCAUAAGUAGGGUAGUUUAAAGCUGCCGCACUCAAUUUCUCACUAAAAUAAGCAAUUGGUCAUCCCUCUUGUAUUAAGACUGCGCCAAUACCAAUAUCUGAAGCAUUGCAUUCAAUUUCAAACGUUUUAUUAAAGUUAGGCAAAAACAAUAAGAGAGCAUUGGUUAGCUUUUGCUUGAUCAUUUGAAAUGCCUUCUAUUGCGCUUCUCCCCACUUAAAUCUAAUAUCUUUUUUUAUUACUUCAGUAAGCGGUGCGGCUAAUGUGCUAAAGUUUUUUCCCAAAUCAUCAAUAGAAACUAGCAAGCCCAUAAAAGCUUCUCAUAUUACUUACACUUGUAGGACUUGGCCACUCUUGGAAUGCACGUACCUUUUUCUCAUCAACCUGUAUACCCUAUGCACACACAAAAAAUCCUAAAAACACAAGUUUAUCGGUGUAAAAAGUACACUUCCUCAGAUUAGCAAAUAACUUUUAUUUUCUAAGCACAUCUAAAACAGAUUUUAAAAGUACUAAAUGAUCGUCUACGUUUUUACUAUAAAUGAGGAUAUCAUCAAAAUAAACAAUAACAAACUUGCCAAUAAAAGCUCACAAAACAUUAUUCAUAAGUCUUAUAAAAGUGCUCGGGGCAUUAGUUAGACAAAAAGGCAUGACUAACCAUUCAUACAAACCAUAUUUGUUUGAAAGGUAGUUUUCCAUUCAUCUCCUUUUUUUUUUUCAUUCUAAUAUGAUGAUAUCCACUUUUCAAAUCAAUUUUAGAAAAUACACAAGACUCAUGUAAUUCAUCAAGCAUAUCAUUUAGCCUAGGAAUAGGAUGUUGAUACUUUAUGAUUAUAUUGUUGAUGGCUCGACAGUCAACACAUCCUCCACGUCCCAUCCUUCUCAGGAACUAAUAAAAUUGGAACUGAACAUGAACUCAUACUUUCUCUCACGUACCUUUUUUUCAUCAAUUCAUUAACCUGCCUUUGAAGUUCCUUGGUCUCCUUCGGGUUGGUCCUAUAGGCUAGUCUAUUUGGAAUGGUUGCACCGGCACAAAAUUAAUUUGAUGCUUAAUCCGUCGGAUUGGAGGUAAGCCAUGUGGUGCUUUCUCAGUAAAGACAUCCUCAUGUUCCUACAAAAGAGAAGUAAUUGAAAUAGGCAAAGUAGGGUCAAAUUCGUUAGUGUUUAAAAAUGCCUCUUUGUACAAAAGUAUAAUCAUCAGCUGAUGUGAAAACGAUGCUUUUUUUUUUUAUCUCUCACUCUCGCAUAGAAAUUCUUUUGUUUUCCUUAUGAUUUUCUCUCAAUGGACGUAUUUGUCUUUGGUUUUUCUCUCACAUUUUCCUCAGUCUCUUUUUGAAUUUCACUCUCUUUUUCUCUCUUUUUCUUUUACUCACUCUCUCUCUGUAAGCUCACUUGGUCUCCAUAAACCUGCUUUGGUGUUAAUGGAACAAGAGUAAUGUUGUGUUGAUUAAAUACAAAUGAAUAUUUGCUGGUGAAGCCAUCAUGCUUCACACGUCUGUCGAAUUUUCAAGGUCCUCCAAGUAACAAGUGUCUAGCCUACAUUAAUACUACAUCAUAUAACACAUUAUCUUUAUACUUACCAAUUUGAAAAAUCACUAGUACCUACUUGUUCACUUUCACCUCACCAUUGUCAUUUAACCACUGUAGUUUGUAUGACUGUGGGUGUUUAAGUGUUGGAAGCCCUAGCUUCUCUACCAUGAUAAUACUAGUAAUAUUAGUACAACUUCCUCCAUCAAUAAUCAUACCACAUACUUUGUCUUAAAUAUAGCACCUAGUAUGGAAAAUGUUUUCCCGUUGCACUGCUUCGUCUUCAUUUACACACUCAAAGCUCUCCUAGCUACUAAAGUCAAUUCCCCAGGGGCUAUAAACUCUUCAUCUUCAAUGUCCUCUAAUGGUGGCAUCUUAUUUUCUUCUGUUUCAUCUUCAGUUACAAUCUCACUAUUGUCCCGCAAUACCAUAACUCUUUUAUUCACACAUUCGCUUGCGAUAUGCCCACUGCCUUGACAUUUAAAACACUUAAUGUCAGGAUUCUUAAUAAUAGGAGUCACGGUGUUACCUUUUGAAUUGUGCUUGGGGGGCUCGGAGGUUGGCCUAGGUAAAGUAGAUGCUUGUGGCCUCUCGUCUCAUUUCACAUAGCUCGGCUUCCAAGGAGUGGAACUCGAGCUUAAGAUUGCACGAGUGUUACCCCUUUUUUUGAGUUGCUGCUCAGUCUUAAUGGCUUUGUGGACUAUCUCCUCAAUCUCCACAUAAUGUUGCAACUCAACUUUAUAGGCAAUCUCUUGAUUAAGACCAUUCAAGAAUCAUGACAUAGUAGCUUUUCUAUCUUCCUCCACAUUUGCUCUAACCAUGGCAAUCUCCAUUUCUUUAUAAUAAUCCUCCACGCUUCAACAAACCUAUGUAAGAUUUUGUAACUUUUGGUACAAGUCUCGAUAAUAAUGGUUAGGUACAAAAAGUCUUCUCAUUAAUGAUUUCAUUUCAUCUCAUGUCUCAACUAGACAUUCCCUAUUUCGCCUCCUACUUAUAACAAGUUGAUCCCACAAAGUAAUAGUAUAGUCAGAAAACUCAAUCACAGCCAAUUUUGCCUUUUUUGCCUCUGAAUAAUCGUGACAGUCAAAUAUGAACUUCAUUUCCUUCUCUCAUUCAAGGUAUGCUUCCAGGUUAGAUUUUCCUUAAAAAGAUGUAAUCUUUAUCUUUAUGUCACUUAAUCCAUCAUCUCUAUUCCUAACUCUCUUACCUUGUCCAUCUCUCCUAUAACUACCCACUAAGUCCUCCCUUUCAUCGUACUCAUCUCCUAUAAUAGUCAUCAAUCUCUCCUCUAACUGAAGCUCUUUCUCUUCUACAUACUUGGGGAACGGGUUGUGACUGCCCUGCACGUGUGUUCUCCUCUUGAUCUAAGCGCUCAUGUAUGAGCUCUAAUUCAGCCCUCAUCAUCCGUCUUAUCUCUCCCAUCAAUGUUUGAAUUUAUAAAUUCUAGGUAGUUGCAAACUGAUCCUCUUCAUUUGUGUUUCGUUCUAGGUUGUAAGACAUGGCUAACAUCUAUAAAAGAAAGUUAGAAAUAAUGUCGAAAGGGUCUCACCUCACUCCUUUACGUAUUUCACUAAAAAAAAUGGCUCACUCAAUUCCACUAGUGUUUCACUCAAAUUAAUUGGCUUUUACCCUCUAAUAUGCUCACACUCUCUUGCCUCUUUCCGUUCGUAGUAAUUCUUACUCGAUUCUUAUCAAACUAAUCAAACCAAUAUCAGGAUUUCAGCAGUAAUUCACAAAGAUUACACUAAGGAGACUCAAAAAUUUUGAGUAUGAUGUACUAGAUUCGUCAUAUUUGGUCACUUUUUUCGUCACCGACAGUGUUAAUAACAUCGACAUUCAAUUAUUCUUUUUUUAGAGAAAAUAAAAGUUAAUUUUUUAUUGGCAAUAUUUUUUAAAAUUUUCUAAAAUUAAAAUAUUUUUCUAUAAUUUUGUUCUGAGGGUAUAUUUGAGAAUAAAUGUUUUGUUUAGGGCACUUUUUAUUUAUUCAUUUUUAAUCUAAAAACCUGAUAAAUUGAUUGGAUAUUGGAUAUCUAUUUAAUAUUCAUAUCCAUCCAAAUAUUUUAAAAAAUAAUUGUAUCGAUAUCCAAAAGAUUUUGAAUGUAUAUUAUCUAAUCCAAUUGGACUAGAUAUAUAGAUAUUCAACUUGGAUGGACCAAUUUGCCAUCUCUACCCAUGUUGUUCUACACUUGUCAACAUCAUUUGUGUAUUAACGGGUUAUCUGCAUAUUGAUUUACAUGACAUUGAAUCACCUUCUAAUUAAGCAAGAUUCAUGUCACUUUGAGGUUCAAUUCUUGAAGACUUAAAUGCACAUUGCUCAUUUAGUUUAGGAUCAUCAACAUUACAUGGAAUCUCACUUGAUGAUUGACUGCCAUCGUUUCUCCUAAAAGUUGAUUGUAUCCAAUGAAAAAAAUAAAAAUAAAAGUUGAUAGUAUGAGGUAUAAAUAAUUAAAUAAUAAUUUCAUUAAGAGUAAUUAAAAAUAUAAUAUUUUACAGUUUUUCAUAACAUAAGUAGGGAAUAAAAUUAGCAACUAUGAAGUUUGGAAACCGUGAACGCGAUCGUAAACAGAAUAGGUACCAAUUUGUAAUAUUGAGCGAAGAAUUUAGAUAAGAAUUGAAUUUAAAAAAAAUUGAAAUAUAAAAUCACUCUUAAACCAACAGUCAGGGGAAAUGGGGAAAAUAUUGUAUAACUGAUCAAAAUAAACCACCAAAUACUUUAGUGCUAAGUCAUAGCUAAAUUUCUUGCCUUCACAAUUUUCUUAGAGAGAGAUUUCAAAAGCAAAAUGGAGUGGGGAAAAAGAAAUUAGGGAAAAUAAUAGUGGUUGUUUUAAAAUAAUAUGUAGUUUUAUAAAGAUUCUAAUUGCAAUAUUGUGGAAUUAGCGUGAUAAUUUUAUGAAGGCAUAUUUGUUAAUAAAAAUUAAAAUUUUUGCCAAAAUUUAAAUGGCCUAGGGACCAUUUUUGCCCGUAUAGAACUUCGUCCUUGCCUUUAAUAGUAAAUAUUUUAAUGAGACUCUUGUACAAUGAUGUGAUAUAAUAUGAUUGGUUGAAUAAAAAUAUAAAAUAAUAUAAAUUUAUAUUAUCAAAGACAUAAAGUUUUCAUUUAAUAAAUCUUAUUAGUCCUCUCUCCUUUGUUUGUCGAAACGAUAGGAAUUCCUUUAAAUUAAGAAGUAAUAGAUUUAGAUAUUUUAUCAAAAUUGUUAACUCCGUCUCUAAAUAUUUUACAUCAAAAUUCAUUUUGUUGAUUGGUAUGAAGUUCUAAAUAAAUCAAUUCUUUUUGUCAGUAUCAAUUUACAUUUUAUAUAAAAAUUUGUAACUAUAUCUAUAGUCUUAUUAUUUUUAAUAAGGGACAUUUAAACACAAGUGGACUAGUGGAAUAAGAAUUUGUUCAAAGCUAUAAUUAAAAAAGAUUUCUAUAUGAUACUGUAUGAGUUUUUACAAUAUUGAUAAUGGGUUGUUGAGGACUCUUGGCCAUGUUUGGUUGACAGAAGAGGAUGGGAGAAAUGACGUGAAUUUAAAAUCCUCAUUGAUUUAUUUUGUUUGGUUAGAAAAAGAUGACCGGAAAAUAAUUUCCACAUAAAUUCAAUAUUUAUUAUAUUAACGAAUUCAUAUUCUUCUUUGAGAACGUAGGAUUUCUGAUUCCAAGACUUUAAAAUAUGCAGAUUGUCAUUUAUAGCCUUAUAACAUUUCAAAAGUUUCAUUUUACCGUUACUUAAAAUUUAAAAGAUGAAACCUUAACAUUUUCUAUCUCACGAUUUCUCUGUAACCAACAGUCGCUUCUUUAAUUUUCAUGGCCGCUACCAUUGAUUCAUCUUAAAAUAAGUCGUUGCCAUCGAUUUAUCUUAUAAAAUAAGCUGCCACCGUUGAUUCAUCAUAAUUUGUAGGUAAAUUUUAUGAUUUUAUAGAUUUAUUUUCUUUUUGACAUGUUGAUUUUUUUUUUUAUUUGUUGAGUUUAUGAUUCUGUUUGAUUGCUAUGAAACUUAUGGCUGAGUUAUUUUUAUUUCCUUUAUUGAUUAGAUUGUUGUGAAGCGAACCAUCACACGCCCAUCUCCACUCACUUGCAUCUAAAGUUGCCUAUGGCUUUUUUAGCCUUCAUAUUGCACCGCCUUUAGGUUUGCUUCUCGUUUUUAUUUUCAUUAAUUUUUUGCAAUUGCUACUUUAAUUUGAUACUGCUUUGCUUGGAUUAUUAAAAAUCGCGUGUUAGAUCAAAUAAAUAAUGAAAAAAAGGAUCGUAUGUUGUUUCAGCACAAAUUAGGUGUAAUUAUUGAUCAAUUAUCUUCAGGUAGCUCAUGUUUGUAUGGAGUUUCUAGAUUUUGAAGUUUGCACAUUCUCGUUGGAAUCAAAUCUCACUCACACUUGGAUUGAAGAGGCUAAGGGGAUUUGGGAUAUAGAAAAUUAUGUGUUAAAUUUGUUGCUGAAUUUAUUGGGUUGAAUGGUGCUAUUGAAUUAUUAUGUAUAUAAUUGUGCAUAUCAAAUUUGUUGGGUAUUUCUUGAACUCUUUGUGUGGUGAGGGCUUUUUAGUGUCAUAUAUUGCAUGUUGAUGAUGUGUGGUCAUCAUUAGUUUUACUUUUAACCAUCAAUUCAUGGUUGUUUUUUUAAUUAGAACUUGACAUUCCUGCUCACUCUAUGCUUGUUCACAAAAUUCUUAAAUUUAUGAGUGUAAUUUUUCAAGUACCAUAACACUUUUGUUUUACGUGUUUUAGGUAGAACUAUCCAAAAGAAGGAAAAAUGUUUGACAUAACAGACCUGAACACUAUUAAGGUUUUAUUCUAGUGAUUUUUUUAUGCUUUUAACCUUAUUAAUCUUGUUGAGUACAUAUAUAUGACUUAUUUUUAAUUAAGACAUGAAUAAUUCUUUGUGCAGUCGUGGAUGACUUAGGCUUAUCUGAAGCAGAUAAUAUGAAAAAGAAGAAAUUGAUUGCACUUUUUAUUCAUUAGUCAUAUACCAUGCAAGCCUUUCUUUAGUUCUUGAAGUUUAUAAAGAAACAAAAUAAGAGAAAAUCUUUAAGACAUGAAACAUACGUGCUUGAUUUUUUUGCAAAUAGGAAAAUUGUUCACCGAUUAACUUAAAAGAGUGAUGGAACUUAUUGGCAGAGCCAAGAAGAUCCCUCCUGAAGUUUUCUCUGAAAACAAAAGGAUGGGAGUGAUAAACAGAGUUGUCAUGACUCUAACUUUAGUCUCUCGUCAUGAGUGUGGCUCUUUGAACUGUCUUUGACUUUCGUUAGUUCUAAUGCUCUCAGAGGAAGUAUUCUAUAUUCAUUUCAGAAGCAGGAGUUGCAGGAUUUAGGUAGAAAGUUUUAAGGAGUUUGGUGUCCAACCACUGGCUGCAGUUCUUAAUUACUGGCGGCUAAAGCCAAUGGAUACAGAUGAGUUAAUUAAGCGGUGCAGAGCCAUCCAGCUAAGUGAAGAAGAAGAAGGGAAAGUCACGUUUAAGAGUAGAAUGAAAACAAAAGGGGAAAAGAUAUUAACAGGCUGUUUGGUCGGAAAAAUAUUCUUAUCAAGAGAAGUCAAAGUAGAAAGAUUGAGAGUAGCAAUGCAACAGGUGUGGAGAACAGGCAGGGAAGUCAAAAUUGAAGGAUUGGGUGAUAAUAUUUUCAUGUUCAAGUUUGGAUCAAAUGAAGAUAAAAGAAGAAUUCUAGCGGGUGGACCAUGGCAUUUUGACAGAGCACUUAUCGUGCUUAUCGAACCUUCUGGAAUUGGAGACAUUAAGAAACUUAACUUCAAUCAUGUAUCCUUUUGGGUACAACUACAUGAUGUUCCAAUUAUGUGUAUGGAAAAAGAGACAGCGGCAGAAUUGGGUGGAGCAAUCGGAAGAGUAGAGGAAGUUGAAACGGAUGCAGCGGGGGAAUGUAUAGGAAAAUUCUUACGAAUGAGGAUUUCGGUGGACAUCACAAAGCCAUUAAAGAAGAUUGUUGUGCUGGAACAGAUGGCGAAAUGGGAUGAGAAAAACGAAGAAGAAAUCAAGAAGGAGGAGAUCCUAAUGCUGGUGCAGUAUGAAAGGCUCCCUGAUUUUUGCUUCUGCUGUGGGCGUAUUGGUCAUCAAUAUAGAGAGUGUAGUCAUUAUAAGUCUCAGUCCAAAGAUCAGCUAGCUUAUGGCCCAUGGCUAAAAGCAAUAACCAUGGCAGAACGACUAAGACAAAGUAGAGGACAGGAUCGAUGGAGCACAGAACCCAGUCAAUUCAAUGCCAAAAAUUCAGCUGGAGUAAACAAUGAACUACUACAUAUCAAAGAAAGGAGACAAAGUGAGGUAGAAGAGAAAGGGGCAGAAGUGGAAGGGAAUCAGAUCCAGAACCAAACGGAUUCGGGUAUGGAUAAUCCUUCUUUAGAGAAAAAAAUAGGUAAAAGAGGUGAUGCUGAUCAUUUAAUGCAAGCAGCAGCAAAUCUCAGAGAGCUAGAGAAUAGCUAUUUAGGGUCAGAGCAGCAGGCUGACAAAAUUGCAGGUCAUGGGGAAGGGACAAAUUGGGCGGGAAAGAAAUUACAACAAGACAUGAAUUUAGUGGAAGAAGAAGCGGGAAAUGGUGAGCGGGAAGUGGAAGGAAACAUCUGGAAAUUAGAAAGUUUAGAGCAAAAACAAAAGGCAAGUGGGCUUUCCUUUCAAAUAGAGUCAGAGGCUGAAGAUGGCAACAAUGGGCUAAAGGAUGAAAAGCUUAGGCCCAAAAGACGGAAAUGGAAGUAUCAUGCACGAAAUUAUGAAGGAAAUGGGGGAACAAAAGAUGGGCAAACAAAAGGAAAAAGGUCGGCUAGCUGGCUAAAUUUGGAAAGCCCAAACUCAAAGAAGCUCAAAGGAAGUACCCCAAAAAAAUAUGGCUGUCAUCAACGAGCUCAACUAAACAUUACAGAAGCUACAACGUUGAGGCUAGAGGAUGAAGAGAUGGAAGCAGUUGCAUGUAGUGUCAAUGAAUUAUCGGCGGUGGCUGAAAACCAGCCUCGCCGACAGCCAUGAGGAUCUUAAGCUGGAACGUUCGGGGAUUGGGGAGUGACCGAACGUUCCGAGAAGCUCAGGAGGUAGUCCAUGAGCACAAGCCCCAAAUUGUGUUUUUUUGCAAGACGAAAAUGACAAGGGAGCAAAUGAGAAAAAGGAGUUACGAGCUGUAUUUUGCAAACUGUUUUGCAGUUAGUAGAGAAGGAAUGGGGGGAGGUUUGGCAAUGCUAUGGAAUUCGGAGAUAACAGUGGAAAUAAAAUCUUUCAGUUGCCAUCAUAUUGAUGCUGUGGUCUAUAGUGAGAAAGGGAGCUAUUGGAGAUGUACGGGUAUAUAUGGUCAUCCAGAAGCAGCUCAAAAACAACAUACUUGGAAAUUGUUGAGAAGGUUAGCAACGUUAUCUUCUUUACCCUGGCUCUAUUUUGGGGACUUUAAUGAAGUCUUAAAUUUAAAUGAAAAGCUAGGAGGAAAUGAGAAACAAGUUAACUCGGUGGCUGACUUUAGAGAAGCGGUUAGGGAAUGUGAUUUCAUAGAUAUGGGAUUUAUGGGGUAUCCCUUUACUUGGUCAAAUAGGAGGUUUGGUGUUGGGUUGAUUGAAGAGAGAUUAGAUAGAUUUCUUUGCAGUAGGAGUUUAGGCAAUUAUUUCCAGGAGAAAGCAGCAAUGAAUCUAGUGACUUGGAGCUCCGAUCACAACCCAAUUCUUAUGGAAGUGCUGGAAAAAGGAAGUGGUUUGAGGUAUUCCAGGAGAACUUUCCGCAGAGUUCAUUAUGAAGAUAUGUGGAGCCCAUAUGAGAAAUGUGGAGAAAUAGUUAAGCGGGAGUGGAAGGAAUCAAGCUGUUGGGACAGGGGAAAUCCUGUUGAUCUGUUUCAAAGGAAGUCAAAGGAGUCACUAGCUGAACUCAAGUUCAAGGGCAGACAAAAAAGGCUGAAGCAGCUGAAGGAGAGGUUAAAGGAAAUCAGACAGAACUAUGGCCAUUAUGACAACGGAUUAGAAGUCAAAAACAUAGAAAGACAGAUUGAUAAUAUUCUAAUUGACGAAGAAAUCUUCUGGAAGCAGAGAUCGAGGGCGGAUUGGCUGAGAGAAGGGGAUAGAAAUACUAAAUUUUUUCAUGCUAAGGCAUCAGCGAGAAAAAGAAAAAAUAAGAUAAUGGGGCUGGAGGAUGAAGAUGGAGUAUGGAAAGAGGAAGCAGAAGAAGUGGAAAGAUUGUUGUGUGAUUAUUUUGCAAACAUUUUCAGCACAACGAAUCCAUCCCAAACUCAGCUGGAGACAGCCGUAGCAGAACUACCAAAGCGAGUAACGGAAGAAAUGAAUUGCUUUCUGGAUCAACAAUUCACUGCCGAGGAGGUAGCAGAGGCUCUUGUUCAGAUGUGCCCCACCAAAGCUCCAAGCCCGGAUGGUCUCCUAGCAGCCUUUUAUCAGAAGCACUGGAGCUCAGUCAAGGAAGGUGUAACCACUACCUGCCUGCACAUCCUAAAUGAGGGAGGUAGUAUCGCUCAUUUAAAUCAUACUUAUAUUGCCUUGAUUCCAAAAUUACAAAAUCCUAGGAAAGUGACUAAUUUCCGGCCAAUUAGCCUUUGUAAUGUUAUUUAUAGGAUUGUGGCAAAAACCUUGGCAAAUAGGUUGAAGCAAAUUUUGGAUACUAUUAUCUCUCCAACUCAAAGCGCUUUUAUCCCGAAUAGGCUAAUUAUGGAUAAUGUAAUAAUCGGGUAUGAAUGCCUAAACAAAAUUAGGCAAAGUAGGGGUAAAAAAUAUGGGUUGGUAGCGCUCAAACUAGACAUUAGCAAAGCCUAUGAUAGAAUUGAAUGGAAUUUCUUGAAAACCACAAUGCAACAGCUAGGCUUCUCAGCAAAUUGGGUGAACUUGAUCAUGAACUGUAUAUCCACAGCAAGCUUUUCAGUUUUGAUUAAUGGGGAGGCGAAAGGUUUAAUCUAUCCUCAAAGAGGUUUAAGACAAGGCUGCCCAUUAUCACCAUAUUUAUUCAUCAUUUGUGCAGAGGUGUUCUCGAAUUUACUCAUGCAGGCUGAAAAACAAAAGCUAAUCCAGGGGCUGAAGUUCAGUAGAAAUUUGUCUAUUUCUCAUCUCCUUUUUGCAGACGACAGCUUGGUUUUCUCAAGGGCUUCUAGUGUAGACUGCAGGCACCUAAAGAAGAUCUUUGAAGUGUAUGCUGCUGCUUCGGGACAGAUAUUCAACUUUGAGAAGUCUUCAAUAUUUUUCAGCACCAACACAAAGUAGAGCCAAAUGGAUGAAAUAGGAAGCAUUUUUAACUUGAAUGUUGUUUCGAGACAUGAGAGGUACCUGGGAUUGCCAUCUAUGGUGGGAAGAAAGAAGACCAAUUUUUUUAACUAUGUCAAGCUAAGGGUGCUUAAUAAGUUAACCAGCUGGGAAAGCAAAUUUUUUUCUUGUGGGGGAAAAGAAGUGCUCAUAAAAGUUGUGGCUCAAGCGGUGCCGGCAUAUGUUAUGAGUGUAUUUAAAAUACCUCAAAGCAUUUGCGAUGACAUUCAAAAAGCUGUAGCAAAAUUCUGGUGGAGUUCUGCAGGAAAUCACAGAGGCAUUCACUGGGCAAAAUGGGGGAGACUAUGCCAAGCCAAGAUAAGAGGAGGGCUGGGAUUUCGAGAUUUCUCAUGCUUUAAUCAAGCCUUAAUUGCAAAGCAAGGCUGGAGACUUAUUCAAAAUCCGGAGGCUUUGAUGGCUCGGGUGUUGAAGGCUAAGUACUUUAAGAAUUCCAGUUUUAUGGAUGCAAAGUUAGGUGCAAAUCCAUCGUUUGUGUGGAGAAGCAUUCUUUGGGGCAGGCAGAUUAUCCACAAAGGCUCAAGAUGGAGGAUCGGUAACGGAGAGCAAGUGUAUGUUUAUAAGAGUAACUGGAUUCCAAGGCCUGAAAAUCUAAAGCCUCUGUCCAUCCAGACAUUACACCCAAAUUCUGUGGUAGCUAAUCUGAUCAGCAACCAAACCUGGAAGGCAGAUGUGAUUUCUCAUAAUUUUUCAGAAGAGGAUGCAGCAAGAAUAAAAAGAAUCAUUCUUCCAAGUUCUCCUCAAUUGGAUCAAUUAAUAUGGCAUUUUGACAAGCAUGGUAAUUAUUCUGUUAAGAGUGGGUAUCAGUUAUCUCUAAGAUUGAAAUCCCCAGAUUUGGCCAGCAGCUCAGAUUUAUCAAAAACUCAUUGGAAGAUUAUUUGGUCAAUGGAGAUCCCGGAAAAGAUUAAAAUUUUCAUGUGGAGAGCAGCUCAGAAUAUGCUUCCAACAGCCUAUAACCUCUGGAAGAGAAAGGCUAUAAAGGAACCAAUGUGUGGCAGAUGUAGUAAGGAGAAUGAAGAUGGUUUUCAUGCCUUAAUUGGAUGCAAGUAUGCCAACAAGGUCUGGAAAUUGACUGAUUUUCACCAGAACAUGAAGAUGCUGGCUCAACAGGACUUAUUAAGCACCCUCUAGGAGAUGGGGAAAAUUACGAGUAGGAAGGACAUGGAACUGAUUAUUGCUACAUGCUGGUCAAUUUGGUCUUCUAGAAAUCUAUUCAUCUUCAAAGGGAAAGAAGAAGAUGCUCAAAUAUCAGUGGGAAGGGCUGCAGCAAUUGUAGAGUCUUACAGAAGGAUUAAAAUCCUAGCUACCCAAACUGUUUCACAGAACCAGAGCAACAACCAACAAACAUGGCUACCUCCUCCAAAUGGGUGGUAUAAGGUGAAUGUGGAUGCUGCCAUCAGACCCUCAAAUCAGACAGCAGGCCUCGGAGUGGUGAUCAGAGACUCGAGAGCAAAGGUUGUAGCAGCAGCUGUUCAGAAUACCAUUUACAAAGGGGAUGUGGACUGCAUGGAAGCAGAGGCAAUCAUUUUUGGCAUCCAGGUGGCUCAAAAUACAAAUUUUCUGCCAUUGAUCAUAGAGUCAGAUUCAAAAGAGGUGGUUGAUCUUGCUUGUAACAGAAAAGGAAGCAGAACGGAAAUCUUCUGGAAGAUAGCCACAAUUCAAGAUAGCUUAAAGAGGCUAAGUAGGGUGCAAAUCCAGCAUGUUUCAAGAUCCUUCAAUCGUAUUGCUCCUGGGCUAGCAAAGAAAGCUUUAGAGUAUGAAAGUUCUGUUGUUUGGCUGGGAAAUUACCCAGAUGAGAUUUUGUUGUUACUCACUAUUGAUUCUUAAUGAAAGCUUUACUUUCUCUUUCAAAAAAAAAAAAAAAAACUUAUAAGAGUGAUGCAACUUGCAUAGCCCAACUUAGAAUGGAUAGGCAUGCUUUUACAUGUUUAUGCACAAGGCUUGAAAUAGUUGGGGGUUAAAACCAUUAAGACAUUUAUUAAUAGAUGAAAGAGUAGUUAUGUUCUUACAUCUAGUAGUAUAUCAUGUAAAAAAUAGAGCGAUUAAAUUUAAAUUUAUGAGGUCGGGACAUUCAAUUAGCAAGUACUUUCAUGAUGUUUUAUAUUCUAUCUUACGGCUUCAUAGAGAAUUAUUGAAACAACCUGAUCAAGUUUUUGAAAACUCUACUGAUGAGAUAUGGAAAUGGUUUAAAGUACUUUUCUUAGCCAUAUUAUUAUGAUUAUAUAUUAGUAUUAUAUCGAUAAUAUGGUGGUCACUAAUGAUUAUUAUGUUUUACUAUACUGAUGAUAGAAUUGCUUAGAAGCACUAGAUGGUACAUAAAUUAGGGUGAGGGUGCCUGCGUAUGCUCCCAAGACAUGCAAUUCAUUUAUGUUUUAACUGGUUGGGAAGGGCAUCACCUGAUACUAGAGUUCUUUGUGAUGUAUAUGUAAAACAAACGGUUUGGAUGUCCCAAAUGGUAAAUGUCGAGGAUUUUCUUGCACCUUAUCAUGGACAACGGUAACACCUUAAUGACUGGAGGAAAAACUAUCAACUAACAAACGCACAAGUGUUUUUUAACAUGAAGCAUUCAGCUGCUAGGAAUGUCAUUGAGAGAUGUUUUGGUGUACUUAAAAAUCAAUGGGCAAUUAAAAAGUCCUUCAUUAUAUCUUAUCAAGACUCAUAAUAGGAUUAUCAUGGCAUGUUGUUUAUUGUACAAUUUUAUUAGGAAGGAGAUGCCAUGUGGAAUCACUCGAAGGUACCAUAAUAACUAGUAUAGAAAUCUCACUACAUGGAGGACAAAUUUAGCAUUAGAGAUGUAUAAUCAAUGGAGAGCAAGUAGGCAAAACACAUGAAGACUCCUUCAAAAAAAUUUGUUAUGUUUUUUGUUAUUCCAUUUUCUGGAUUGUAAAAUGUAAUAUUCAUGUUUCUAACUUUGGGAAUUUAUUUAAUCCAUUCCAUUGUUAACUUUAUUUCUUUGACAUUUAUUGUUUUUGUAGCUAUAUGUAACUUGCUUACUGGGGCUUGUUCCUUUCAACUUGAUGAUAAAAAUCUUCUAGAUUUAUAGUUAAAGCUGAGCUAAAAUAACUUUAUAUAAUGUAUGUAUUGCCUAGUUGAAAGGGUGAUUAUACUGAAUAACUAAGACUCAAAUAGUCUUAUUUAACCACCAGUCUUUCUCCAAAUCAUGCAUUAUGUUGUAGUAGAAUUUUUAUGUUGUUAUCUCUUUUGGUGUAUAGUUAUUUUAUUGGUCUAGUUCUUGUGAAGCAAGAUUUGGCUUAGGCUAAUGGUUUUAAAUUAUCUUCUUGUGUGCAUGCUUUGCUUCCUACUCUCCAGAUUUCUAACUAAUGUCUAAUUUUUGUUCAAUAACUAAAUAAAAUGACAAGCACCACAAGCUCCAAAAUCAAGAAAAAGGAGAAGAACUUAAGAUUCAAAAGAUAAUGGAGAGUUAUUUAAAGAGCUAACAACUCUUUUUGUCACUGAAAUGAAAGAAACUUCUAGUUACUUGAGUUGAGCUUUAGGGCAAGAAAUUAAUAACAAACAAGUAGGAUUGAGUGAUGAUUUGAAGAAGAUUGGUAGUCUUACAAUGGUAGAAUGCCUUAAAGCCACUUUAAUUGCUCAUGAUAAUGCCGCACUCAAUGUUUUAUAUAAUCUUUGUGAUGAGCAGCAAGAAGCAUGGGUUAAACUUUUAGGCUUAUUGUUUUGAUAACUUAUGUUAGGUCUAUUGUUGUUUUGAUGCACUCAUUUUAAAGCUUACUAUUGUUUAUGGAAUUUAUAACUCAUUUUAGACUUAUUAUUUUGAUAUACUUAUUUUCUGCAUAUUGUUAUUUUUCAUUUUUUUUAUUGUCAAAAUUUAAAGGUAUUUAAAAUUUAUAAGGUUAUGCAUAUAUAUAGGAGGCUGUUUUAAUCCGGGAGUCCCGGAUUGGAACAGCAUCCGGGAAGAAAUUUGUGGCCGUUGGAUUCAAGUCCAAUGGCCCCAAAUUCCUUCUUUUAAUUUUUUUUGGUUUGGCUGCACAUGGUGGGCUCCACCAUGUGCAGCCACAGGUGGCCUUUGGAUUUGAAUCCAAAGGCCACCAGCCUCCCUCCUGGACAUCGUUCCAAUCCAGGAUCCCGGAUUGGAACAGCACUCUCUAUAUAUAUAUAUAUAUAUCGUAAAUUGUUUUAGGACAUUCUGACAUUAAAAAAAAAUGGUUUAUAAGUUCAGAAAAGCUUAGUAUUGACAUUAAAUUAUAUUUAAUUACUAAUAUCAAUAGUUUAGUAUUUAAAGUAAAGGGAAAAAUUGUCCAAAAAUAAAAAUUGUAAUUCCUUUCCCCAUGAAACUUUAUGUUGAAUUAAACAAUAAAAUUUAAUUUCCCUAUUCCCCUCCUCCCUUUUCUUCUCCCUUCCCUUCCAUUUCUCUCCUAUCCUCUCCUCCCCUUUCUUCAAACCAAACAUCACCUUAGAUUUAAAUAGAUAAAAAUUAAUUAAUUAGAGAAUAACAGGUAAAUUUUAGGUUGCAAGUAAAUGCAGAUUUUUUUAGUUAAUUGAUAACUAAAAAGUUUUAUCAUGCUGGGAUAAAAAUCCCACAAUCAUUAAUGGGAUCAUUGGAUUUAAAUAUUAGAAUCUUCACCCUUAUUUUAAUUUUAAUGAAUAAGUAAUUAUGUACCUAAUAAUUUGCAAGUUGUGGUAUUUCUUCACACUUUAAAUUAUUUUUUAUCUAAUCAAUUCAUAAAUAUUUUUAAGUCACCAAAAAAAUAUAUAUAAAUAGUUUGAAAUUAAAAUUAUUAUGUACUAUCUAUAAUUUUACAAUUUUCCUUUUACAUAUAGUAUUAUAUAUAUAUAUAUAACAUUAUUGAAAUAAUGUAAUUUCAAUAAUACUUUAUAUAAAGAUAUUUCAUAAGUUCUUAUAAUAAUUUAUCAUAUGAAUUUAAUUAUAAAACUAGUAAUACUUAAACAAUCAUGAUCAUAGAAGGCAUUGUAAUGAAUUAUUUGAUGAUUUGAUAUAUACUUUUAGAGUUAGAUUAUUUUAACUUAAAUUUUUAACCCAAAAUGUAAACUAUUAAUUUUAUGCAAUUAAAUGGUGGAUGAUAUAAUAUCUAAAAUAUUGCCUUGACUUUUAAUAUCAACCAUUAGAUUGUGAAAGAUUAAUGGCUCAAAUUUUGUAUCAAAAUUUAAGUUCAAAUAUACUAAACCAUGUUUUUAUAAUGAAAAUAUAAAAAUAUAUAAAGAAUUUGUUUUCUUAUCAUUCUUUCCUAUGUAAAUAUUAUUGGUGGUAAUAUUUUUUGUACUAUCACCAUUAAUUAUCAUAAAAUUUUACAAUUACAAUUAACAGAUAUCAAAAAAAUAAUCUUUCGUGAUUCAUAAAUUAAAGCUAAUUAGGAAUAUAUGUAAACUUAUGUGAAAUUAACAAAGUGAUAUUUGAAAAUAAAAUGAAAAUAUGUAAGCUUGUGAAGCUUAAAUUUUAUAAGGUUUGGAUAAUUUUCUACCAUGUAACAAUAUUGAUUGUAACAUAAACCAUAAUUUCAUGGAACAGGUAUGCUAAAAUGGGUGUUAAAAAUAAUAUGUACUUUAUGAUUAAUUAUACAAUGUUCCUUAAUUGUGUAUAAACAAUGACUAAUUUAAAUGCAAUGUUAGAGUUUAUUAAAACAUGGGUAGUCAGGUAUUUUUUAAGGUUACAAACAAUCUCACCCAUGAGUUUAUUGAUACAAUUUAUAACAUUUACUUAAAUAUAUUUACUUAAUUUUGUCAUUUAUUGGUGUUACAUCAUAUAUAAAUUUUAUAAUUGCAACUUAUUUAUUUGAUUUGUUUUAGAUAACUUAUUAGAUAUUAUAUCUUAAACUUAUUAGUAAUAGAUUUUGAAAUAUUUAUGUUAAAAAAAAAUUUCCCAUGACAAAUUUAAAGGAAGGCUUAAAAGUAAUUUUCAAAUAAAAACAUGCUAUUUAAGUUAAAUUGUUUAAAAAUCUAUAAGUGUGUCAACAUUUAAUGCAUUCUUGAGUUGAUUUGGGGACUAUGAAACCCUUAAGCUUCCGAUAGUUCCACAUCAACAUUAUCUCCAAAAGUCAUAAUUUGAUUGGUCUGCUGGAUAUUCUAUGGCCAAUGGGCUAGGCCAGCAAAGGUAGGCCCAUACGUACUCAUGCUCGUGCCAUGUCGUGCCCACUAUGUAUUCCGUAUUAUGCCUAAUGUUUUUUGCUUAAGCUUCGCUCGGCACACGUGCCGUGCCCACUUGUGUCGUGACGUGCCAUGCCCACUUGUGUCGCGACGUGCCAUGCCUAAGAAAAAAAGUAUGAUAAGCUUUUUUCUUCUUUUUAAAUUUUUUUAAGAGCGCAUGCCAAGUUGUUGGUCUAUUUUUUUUCAAACUUUUGUACUUUUUUGGGUCCAUGUGCUUUUAUUCAAAUUUGAUAAAAUCACAAAUUCAAAACUCAAGUCUAUAUUCAAUAAUAAUAAACUAAUAAUAGUAAGAAAAUAUAAUAUUAAUUAUUAAGUUUGACCAUAUGGUAUUAGAAUUCAUUUUUAAUACUUAACAACAAUAAUAAUAAAUUUUCCUUAAGGGUUAACUUAAUUGUUAACUCGGACUUACAUAGAAUCAUAAAUUAUAGUUCAUAAUAAUAUUAAUACAUAUUUAUAAAUCAUAAUAUUUAUAAUUUUAUUUAUUAAAAUCAUGAUAUCAAUUAUUUAUUUAAUAAAUUAUAAACAUAAAUCAAUUAUAGUAUUUUUAACUAAGAAUUAAAUGAAUUUAGAAAAAAUACACUAAUAAAAUAUAUUAAAAGAUUCAAUUUCAAGCUAUUUGUAAACUUAUAAAAUUUUAAUUUUACUUUCAUUAAAAAAUGAAACGUGCUUAUUGCAGGUUUUUUCAUGUGUCGUGCUUUAUUUAAUUUCUAAUCGUGCCAUACUUUUAAGGCCUGGGCGCCUAAAAUUCUAAGCCCAGCCUAACCCACAUGUGUGUCAUGUUGUGCCGCGUGCCCUACCGAAACGUGCCAUACUUUUAAGGCCUACGUGCCUAAAAUUCUAAGUCCAGCCUAACUCACAUGUGUGUCAUGCUGUGCCGCGUGCCCUACCGAAACGUGCUCGUGCCGUGUCGUGUUGUACGGACACAUGUCAUACUCGUGUCGUGCCCCGUGUCGUCUAGCCCAUUGCUAAUAAUAUUUGUAUUUGUAUUGAGUACUCUCCUUAGUGAUAAGGAUGAGAGUGUGAUGUGACAUAAAGUAAAGUAUGAGUUGUAAAGUAGAUUCCUUAGUGAUAAGGAUCAAUAAUGUAAACAGUAUGUAAUAGUGGAUCCCUUGAGCCUAUAAAAGGGAGUCCUUGGUUUGAGUCUAGGCAUCAAGUCUUGGAGUGCAAUCUUGUAUUGUAAAUCUCUUAUUCCUCUUAAUGAAGUAACCUUCCAUUGUUUUCAAGAAAUACAAAUAUAAAGACAAAUAUAAAGAAGGAUGGACCAUGCCUCACCAAACAGCUUCUCAUCCAGGCUUGCCCCAUGAUGAAGAACUGUGCAAAACAGAGAUCCAAACACUUAUGGAUCUGAAGCUCAUCAGGCCCUCUAAGUCUCAUUGGGCCAGCCCAGCAUUUUAUGUCAACAAGCAUUCAGAACAGAUACGUGGGAAAAAAUGAUUGGUGAUAGACUACAGGAAGCUGAAUGAUUGUUUACAGGACAUAAGAUACCCCAUUCCACGGAGGACACACCUUUUGAAACGCAUUGCUGGAGCAAAAGUGUUCUCAAAGUUUGACAUGAAGUCAGGCUUUUGGAAAAUUGGAAUUAAAGAAGAAGACAGACACAAGACAGCAUUUGUAGUCCCCCAUGGGCAUUAUGAAUGGAACGUGAUACCUUUCGGCCUAAAGAAUGCACCGUCAGAAUUCCAAAACAGAAUGGAUGAGGUAUACAAAUGCAUCUCAGGAUUUUGCCUUAUCUACAUUGACGAUGCUCUUAUCUUCAUCAACAGUGAUGAAGAACAUGCUGAGCACCUGUCUCAAUUCAAAGCCCUAACCUACAAGCAUGGGUUAGCUCUGUCAGAACCAAAGAUGAAGAUAGGCCUUGGUGAAGUAGAUUUUUUGGGAUUACAUAUCAAACAGGGAUUCAUCAUUCCUCAGCCACAUAUUGCUGAAAAAAUAUCCCAAUUCCCAUACCAGCUGUCAAUCGAAAGCAGAUCCAGCAAUUCCUCGGGAUAAUCAACUAUGCAGCAGACCAUGUACAGAACCUGUCAAAAAUGACGAGUCAGAUAUCAAAGCACUUAAAGAAAGGUGCCCCACAAUGGUCAGAAAACGCGACAAAAGCUGUGACAGACUUAAAGCAAAAGUGUCAGUCACUCCCACCAUUAAAGAUACCUGACAAGGGACAGCUCAUCUUACAAACAGAUGCUAGUGACCAUUAUUGGGGAGCACUGUUGAUAGAAGAAUCCGAGGGAAACAGGAAAGUGUGUGGCUAUAAAUCAAGCCAGUUCAACGAUGCUCAAAGCCACUACCCUUCCUCAAAGAAAGAAGUCUUAGCAGUUGUCAAAGGGAUCAAGAAAUUCAAGUUCUUUCUCUCUCUAACUCCCUUUAUGAUUGAAACAGACUAUAAAUACCUCCAGGGAUUGCUCAGGAGAAAAGAAGGAGAAAUCCCAGAUCCACAACUUGCAAGGUGCUCUGAAUCUCUCUCGAGAUUCAAGUUCGAAGUAACACACAUCAAAGGAGAAUCCAACACUGUAGCGGAUUUCCUUUCCAGACCAAUCACCAUGAUCAAGAGAAGGAACCUCCCAAGAAAAUGGGAAGAAGGCAGCUCUAGUGCCCACGAAACUAGAGCACACUUCCUCAGAGAUCUCAAUACCUUCAUAGCAUGGCUUCCUUCGGAAGUUCAGGAUGACAUCUUUGAGAAAAUCAUUACUCACAAAAGAGGUCCUGAAGAUCAAGCUCUAACAUGGCGGGUGUGGCAACUUAUGGCUAUGCAAGAACACAGACCUGCCCACAACAAAAGAUGUCAGAGAGCUUUUGAUCCACACCCAAAUCCUGACCAGAUACACGAAACAAUCUUCAAGAUCGGUUGCACCUUCCACUAUGUAAUAGAUGAAAACUCCAAUUAGGGUCACUAUGUUAUUUGUGACAUAACCCCAUAAGCCUAUUACAUAACGUGGUACUGGCUAAACAUCUACCUGGUGGCAAUACUGUUUGAACCGAACCUCAUCCACACUAGCAGGAGAUAUGGCAAAGGAAGAUGGUUCGACCGCAUGUUUGCUCCUAUCUUCGAAGAUAUCUUGACGUUAAAGCUUAUCAACGGGUAUCACAUCACUCACUCUACUAUAGUGAUUGUGAAGCUCACAGAUAUCUGGGGAAGAUACAAACAGCCUCUUGUCCAGGUGGUCCAGCGUGACCACUCCCACGAAGAAAUAGAUUCCAUGUGGACAGGCUGCUGGAAUGCAAGAAGGGCAUUGGCAGAUGUAUAUGGAACUGUUCUUAUGUACAAUACUCAUAGUCCAGUUUCCCCACAAGUUUGUAGUACGCCAGAUCUAUACUACAGAGAAGAGAUCAGGAAUCUCAAGCUUCAUGGCGAAGAAGACGAAGCAGCAGACUUGCAGCAAAGGUAUAAUGACUACCUCACUCGGCAUGGCAGGCCAAAAGAAGUCACUUAUCUGGACACACCAGAUAUUGACAGAUGGAGGAACGAACUUGAAGAAAUGGCCCAUUGGCUAGACCUCCAAGACUGGCCCCAGCCAGAACAAAACCCACAACCAGACAAUGUCGAAGACCCCAUAUGGCCCAAUAUGGGAGAAGAUAUGGAUGACGCAUCCGAAGACCGAUGGAACCACAGGUCAGGACGAAGCACGCCAACAAGUGGCAACUCUGGACUGUAGCGGAAGCUUAGUGGACCCUACAGUGGAAGCAAUGGUGAUAAUAAUAUUUGUAUUUGUAUUUGUAUUUGUAUUGAGUACUCUCCUUAGUGAUAAGGAUGAGAGUGUGAUGUGACAUAAAGUAAAGUAUGAGUUGUAAAGUAGAUUCCUUAAUGAUAAGUAUCAAUAAUGUAAACAGUUUGUAAUAGUGGAUCCCUUGAGCCUAUAAAAGGGAAUCCUUGGUUUGAGUCUAGGCAUCGAGUCUUGGAGUGUAAUCUUGUAUUGUAAAUCUUUGAUUCCUCUUAAUGAAGUAACCUUCCAUUGUUUUCAAGAAAUACAAAUUUUUCCAUUGUUUUCAAGAAAUACAAAUUUUGGUAUCAGAGCCAUAUUUCCCAAAAGGAAACCCCUGGGUGUGAAACAAUAUUAUGCUCUGUGGUUGCCGAAAUACUUCGGAUCCUCCACAUAAGAAAGUUGUUAAACACUGAUCUACCUGUCUCAAGUUUUCCAUUCCUAAAACACUACAGAGUGAAUUCUGUAAGGUGUGGCGCCCCCUUGAGAAGGCCAAGCGUGCCAUGUUAAGGGCUUAUCACCUCAAAGAAAACCCUUUGAUUUCUUUUAGCCAUGGAAAACUAAAACAGUAACAGAUCCGGUAACCAACCACUUUCUGAUCAACCAUCCACCUCGGCCAUCAGAGUACCAACUGAUAGUUCACCCUCUAUAAAUUUCCAUUAUGAAACCCAAGAGGAUGAAAGCAAUGAGAGAGCGGUUCAGUCCUUCAGACUUGAUCUGUUAGACCCCUAUAGAUACUACCAUAUUAGCCCUACUCUUAACCACCUAAGAGCCAUAAUCCCCAUCAGACAGCCUAAACUUAAAACCAUCUAUAAAUCCUCUGAAACACUGUCCAAUCCAUCUCCUUUAGCUCAAAAGAAACAUACAUUCCCAUAAUCUCUACCAAUGAGGUUACAAGGUAUAAACUGCAUUGAUACAAAGGAUUACACCUUGGAGCAAUCCAGAUAGGGAUACAACCUUUGUUCCUAGCUGGAAAAGAUAUCACAUGCUUCAUUGCCAUUCUAGACACUAGGUGGCAAACUUUUGAAAAGGCCUUGAAUACUGCUGUUGAAGCAGGACUCAACCAAGGUCAUGUUGUUCUCCAAGCUGAGCCAAACUUCACCCUUGAUAUACACAAGCCAUCCCUCACAGAUGCCAUCAAAGUAUUAAUCCAGGCCAAUGGUUUAACCAUGAAACCUGACGAAUCUGCCUUGGCAAUUCACCACACCAUGACCUAUAAAGUCCAGAUUUCUUGCUGGUGAUGGCAGAGUCUUUCAACCCAGGACUUAUAGGCAAAACCAACUCAUUUUUCCACCACAAUGGAUCAAUGAGUAUGAGAAAAACAACAGGCCUCAACAGAUCCAUAAGGUCCCAAAAAUAAGCAGGUUGCAAGAAGGUAGGGUAUCAGUCUCUUUUCCUACAGAGACCAAAACUCUCUACCCAUGUGAGAAAUGCCAGCUUGAAGGAAAGCAUGUGGGGCACGUUGGCAUUCUCCUUCAUACCAGGCUACCAUUUUUUCAAAAUAAGCCAGUCGUUCUUUUGGCUUCAUUCCAUCAAUGUUCCAGAACAUCUUUCCAGUUGUGGAGUGCUCUAAUUGUACCCUGGUUUCACAUUCUUCUCCUUGGGAUACUUCAUCUAUAUAUGGGGCACGUUCAGCAGUUUGGUCAGCGGGAUUUGAGGAUGCUUCGGCUUCUGCAGGAGCUACAGGAAGAAAAUGGAUUUGGAGGAUUUGCCCUUUGCAUAAGAAUAGGAAUUGGAGGGAUUCCUGUGGUGUCAUCAGAGGAGAUACUUGAUUCUUCUUCAGCAUCGGAUUCCUCAUCCCAUCCUGUAGUCUUCUGGGGCCAUGGGUAUUGAGGAGGAGGUGCAUAGCUUCUCCAGAAUGCUUUCUGACAGUUGCCAAAUGCAUUUUCCUCCCAGAUAUGCCAUGGUUUUGUAGGUUUGCUCUUCCAGUGUCUGGACACUUUCUUCUUGUGAUAGCUUUCCCUUGUUCUUUCCAUUUCAUCUUCAUCUGCAGCUCCAGUCAUAACAAUCAUGUUGAUAGACCUAGAGGCAUUAUCAUGCAGUUGGGAAAACUGCUGAGUAGAUAUUUUAUGCUGUUUUCUGUUCUUCUUUAGCUGCUUUCUGAUAACAGCUAAAUCAGCAAGAAUUUACUGUUGGGUAACCAUGAUAUCUCCCAAUGCCUGGUUCUGUUCCACAGCGUUUAUGUUUGACCAGUUGACUGUCUUCUCAAUAGGGCCAAAUUCUGUUGGGUUGGUUUUCUGGAUUACCCAUUUGGCAGCAUACAUUCCUCCAGAAAUAUCCUUGAUGAAUUCAUUAUCAAGGUCUAGAGUGGUAAUCAUGUUGACUGGACCCAUGAUUUUGCAAGAGGUUGUCCUUCUUGGCAUGUGUGUGCACAAAGAGGGAUGCUUUCCUUCAAGCUGGCAUUUCUCACAUGGGUAGAGAGUUUUGGUCUCUGUAGGAAAAGAGACAGAUACCCUACCUUCUUGCAACUUGCUUAUUUUUGGGACCUCAUGGAUCUGUUGAGGCCUGUUGUUUUUCUCAUACUCAUUGAUCCAUUGUGGUGGAAAAAUGAAUUGGUUUUGCCUAUAAGUCCUGGGUUGAAAGACUCUGCCAUCACCAGCAAGAAAUCUGGACUUUAUAGGUCAUGGUGUGGUGAAUUGCCAAGGCAGAUUCGUCAGGUUUCAUGGUUAAACCAUUGGCCUGGAUUAAUACUUUGAUGGCAUCUGUGAGGGAUGGCUUGUGUAUAUCAAGGGUGAAGUUUGGCUCAGCUUGGAGAACAACAUGACCUUGGUUGAGUCCUGCUUCAACAGCAGUAUUCAAGGCCUUUUCAAAAGUUUGCCACCUAGUGUCUAGAAUGGCAAUGAAGCAUGUGAUAUCUUUUCCAGCUAGGAACAAAGGUUGUAUCCCUAUCUGGAUUGCUCCAAGGUGUAAUCCUUUGUAUCCCUGCAGUUUAUACCUUGUAACCUCAUUGGUAGAGAUUAUGGGAAUGUAUGUUUCUUUUAAGCUAAAGGAGAUGGAUUGGACAGUGUUUCAGAGGAUUUAUAGAUGGUUUUAAGUUUAGGCUGUCUGAUGGGGAUUAUGGCUCUUAGGUGGUUAAGAGUAAGGCUAAUAUGGUAGUAUCUAUAGGGGUCUAACGGAUCAAGUCUGAAGGACUGAACCGCUCUCUCACUGCUUUCAUCCUCUUGGGUUUCAUAAUGGAAAUUUAUAGAGGGUGAACUAUCAGUUGGUACUCUGAUGGCCGAGGUGGAUGGUUGAUCAGAAAGUGGUUGGUUACCGGAUCUGUUACUGUUUUAGUUUUCCAUGGCUAAAAGAAAUCAAAGGGUUUUCUUUGAGGUGAUAAGCCCUAAACACGGCACGCUUGGCCUUCUCAAGGGGGCGCCACACCUUACAGAAUUCACUCUGUAGUGUUUUAGGAAUGGAAAACUUGAGACAGGUAGAUCAGUGUUUAACAACUUUCUUAUGUGGAGGAUCCGAAGUAUUUCGGCAACCACAGAGCAUAAUAUUGUUUCACACCCAGGGGUUUCCUUUUGGGAAAUAUGGCUCUGAUACCAAAAUUUGUAUUUCUUGAAAACAAUGGAAGGUUACUUCAUUAAGAGGAAUCAGAGAUUUACAACACAAGAUUGCACUCCAAGACUCGAUGCCUAGACUCAAACCAAGGACUCCCUUUUGUAGCCUCAAGGGAUCCACUAUUACAUAUUGUUUAUAUUAUUGAUCCUUAUCACUAAGGAAUCUACUUUACAACUCAUACUUUACUUUAUGUCACAUCACACUCUCAUCCUUAUCACUAAGGAGAGUACUCAAUACAAAUACAAAUACAAAUACAAAUACAAAUACAAAUACAAAUACAAAAACAAAUAUUAUUAUCACUAUAUCCUCUCUCUUCAUUUCCCUCGGAUUCUUCUAUCAACAGUGCUCCCCAAUAAUGGUCACUAGCAUCUGUUUGUAAGAUGAGCUGUCCCUUGUCAGGUAUCUUUAAUGGUGGGAGUGACUGGCACUUUUGCUUUAAGUCUGUCACAGCUUUUGUCGCGUCUUCCGACCAUUGUGGGGCACCUUUCUUUAAGUGCUUUGAUAUCUGACUCGUCAUUUUUGACAGGUUCUGCACAUGGUCUGCUGUAUAGUUUAUUAUCCCAAGGAAUUGCCGGAUCUGCUUUCUGGUUGACAGCUGGUCUGGGAAUUGGGAUAUUUUUUCAGCAAUAUGUGGCUGAGGAAUGAUGAAUCCCUGUUUGAUAUGUAAUCCCAAAAAAUCUACUUCACCAAGGCCUAUCUUCAUCUUUGGUUCUGACAGAGCUAACCCAUGCUUGUAGGUUAGGGCUUUGAAUUGAGACAGGUGCUCAGCAUGUUCUUCAUCACUGUUGCUGAAGAUAAGAGCAUCGUCAAUGUAGAUAAGGCAAAAUCCUGAGAUGCAUUUGUAUACCUCAUCCAUUCUGUUUUGGAAUUCUGACUGUGCAUUCUUUAGGCCGAAAGGCAUCACGUUCCAUUCAUAAUGCCCAUGGGGGACUACAAAUGAUGUCUUGUGUCUGUCUUCUUCUUUAAUUCCAAUUUGCCAAAAGCCUGACUUCAUGUCAAAUUUUGAGAACACUUUUGCUCCAGCAAUGCGUUUCAAAAGGUGUGUCCUCCGUGGAAUGGGGUAUCUUAUGUCCUGUAAACAAUCAUUCAGCUUCCUGUAGUCUAUCACCAAUCGCUUUUUCCCACGUAUCUGUUCUGAAUGCUUGUUGACAUAAAAUGCUGGGCUGGCCCAAUGAGACUUAGAGGGCGUGAUGAGCUUCAGAUCCAUAAGUGUUUGGAUCUCUGUUUUGCACAGUUCUUCGUCAUGGGGCAUGCCUGGAUGAGAAGCUGUUUGGUGAGGCAUGGUCCAUCCUUCUUUAUAGGGUAGAGACACAAAAUGAUGUUCUCUAGCCCAGAACUGGUUUGGCACUUCUGCACAGCAUUCGAUCUGGGGUUCAUCUUUUUGGAUUGGGUCGUCCAUUGAUUUUGAUGUGAGGUCUGAAGAGAGAGGAUGGUUGCAUUGCCAGUUUAAUCUGAAGAGGAUCAUGGACAACCAUAACAAGGUCCUCAUCUUCAGAAUCACUGUCAGAGCAGGUAGAAGAGUCGCUAUCCUCAGUAUCAGAGAUCCCAUGGUUUUGUAGGUUUGCUCUUCCAGUGUCUGGACACUUUCUUCUUGUGAUAGCUUUCCCUUGUUCUUUCCAUUUCAUCUUCAUCUGCAGAUCCAGUCAUAACAAUCAUGUUGAUAGACCUAGAGGCAUUAUCAUGCAGUUGGGAAAACUGCUGAGUAGACAUUUUAUGUUGUUUUCUGUUCUUCUUUAGCUGCUUUCUGAUAACAGCUAGAUCAGCAAGAAUUUACUGUUGGGUAACCAUGAUAUCUCCCAACGCCUGGUUCUGUUCCACAGCGUUGAUGUUUGACCAGUUGACUGCCUUCUCAAUAGGGCCAAAUUCUGUUGGGUUGGUUUUCUGGAUUACCCAUUUGGCAGCAUACAUUCCUCCAGGAAUAUCCUUGAUGAAUUCAUUAUCAAGGUCUGGAGUGGUAAUCAUGUUGACUGGACCCAUGAUUUUGCAAGAGGUUGUCCUUCUUGGCAUGUGUGUGCACAAAGAGGGAUGCUUUCCUUCAACCUGGCAUUUCUCACAUGGGUAGAGAGUUUUGGUCUCUGUAAGAAAAGAGACUGAUACCCUACCUUCUUGCAACUUGCUUAUUUUUGGGACCUCAUGGAUCUGUUGAGGCCUGUUGUUUUUCUCAUACUCAUUGAUCCAUUGUGGUGGAAAAAUGAGUUGGUUUUGCCUAUAAGUCCUGGGUUGAAAGACUCUGCCAUCACCAGCAAGAAAUCUGGACUUUAUAGGUCAUGGUGUUGUGAAUUGCCAAGGCAGAUUCGUCAGGUUUCAUGGUUAAACCAUUGACCUGGAUUAAUACUUUGAUGGCAUCUGUGAGGGAUGGCUUGUGUAUAUCAAGGGUGAAGUUUGGCUCAACUUGGAGAACAACAUGACCUUGGUUGAGUCCUGUUUCAACAGCAGUAAUCAAGGCCUUUUCAAAAGUUUGCCACCUAGUGUAGAAUGGCAAUGUGUGAUAUCUUUUCCAGCUAGGAACAAAGGUUGUAUCCCUAUCUGGAUUGCUCCAAGGUGUAAUCAUUUGUAUCCCUGCAGUUUAUACCUUGUAACCUCAUUGGUAGAGAUUAUGGGAAGGUAUGUUUCUUUUUAGCUAGAGGAGAUGGAUUGGACAGUGAUUUCAGAGGAUUUAUAGAUGGUGUUAAGUUUAGGCUGUCUGAUGGGGAUUAUGGCUCUUAGGUGGUUAAGAGUAGGGCUAAUAUAGUAGUAUCUAUAGGGGUCUAACGGAUCAAGUCUGAAGGACUGAACCGCUCUCUCACUGCUUUCAUCCUCUUGGGUUUCAUAAUGGAAAUUUAUGGAGGGUGAACUAUCAGUUGGUACUCUGAUGGCCGAGGUGGAUGGUUGAUCAGAAAGUGGUUGGUUACCGGAUCUGUUACUGUUUUGGUUUUCCAUGGCUAAAAUAAAUCAAAGGGUUUUCUUUGAGGUGAUAAGCCCUAAACACGGCACGCUUGGCCUUCUCAAGAGGGCGCCACACCUUACAGAAUUCACUCUGUAGUGUUUUAGGAAUGGAAAACUUGAGACAGGUAGAUCAGUGUUUAACAACUUUCUGAUGUGGAGGAUCCGAAGUAUUUCGGCAACCACAGAGCAUAAUAUUGUUUCACACCCAGGGGUUUCCUUUUGGGAAAUAUGGUUCUGAUACCAAAAUUUGUAUUUCUUGAAAACAAUGGAAGGUUACUUCAUUAAGAGGAAUCAGAGAUUUACAAUACAAGAUUGCACUCCAAGACUCGAUGCCUAGACUCAAACCAAGGACUCCCUUUUAUAGGCUCAAGGGAUCCACUAUUACAUAUUGUUUACAUUAUUGAUCCUUAUCACUAAGGAAUCUACUUUACAACUCAUACUUUACUUUAUGUCACAUCACACUCUCAUCCUUAUCACUAAGGAGAGUACUCAAUACAAAUACAAAUACAAAUACAAAUAUUAUUAUGAAAAGUAGAAAACUAUCCAAUCCACAUUUUAUGUCAACAAGCAUUCAGAACAGAUACGUGGGAAAAAGCGAUUGGUGAUAGACUACAGGAAGCUGAAUGAUUGUUUACAGGACAUAAGAUACCCCAUUCCACGGAGGACACACCUUUUGAAACGCAUUGCUGGAGCAAAAGUGUUCUCAAAAUUUGACAUGAAGUCAGGCUUUUGGCAAAUUGGAAUUAAAGAAGAAGACAGACACAAGACAUCAUUUGUAGUCCCCCAUGGGCAUUAUGAAUGGAACGUGAUGCCUUUCGGCCUAAAGAAUGCACAGUCAGAAUUCCAAAACAGAAUGGAUGAGGUAUACAAAUCCAUCUCAGGAUUUUGCCUUAUCUACAUUGACGAUGCUCUUAUCUUCAGCAACAGUGAUGAAGAACAUGCUGAGCACCUGUCUCAAUUCAAAGCCCUAACCUACAAGCAUGGGUUAGCUCUGUCGAAGUAACACAUAUCAAAGGAGAAUCCAAAACCACCACUUGCUAGGUCUCAAAAUCCACAUUAGCAUUAUCUCCAAAAGUCGUAAUUUGAUUGGUCAGCUGGAUAUUCUUCCUCCCCCACCAAGACAACCACUCGUUAUGUCUCAACAUGUGCCCUUCAAAAAAAAAAAGUGAAAUAUUAAACAUUAUGUGGAACUUACAUCCUUAAACCCAUGGAUGAAACUAUGUUGCAACGGUUGCAGCAUACCACUACUUCUACUUUUUUGUGGUUUGGCACACUACCUUAUAUUUUAUGAAAAAUUAAAUAGGAACUAGAAGUUACAAUUUUUUACAUAUAAAUCCUUUUUUUUUUGGGAUAAAUGGCAUUUGAGAGAAACCAUAACUGUUGUCUAAUACGCUUUGGGUGUGUUUGGUUAUAGUAUUAAGGGGUAUUAAAUUACUAUUCAUAUUAAAUUAAUACUAAUAUCAUGUUUAGAAAAACAUGGGUAUGAGUUAAGGGUACUGUAGCCUUGCGUUUUUUUUUUCUUUUCCUUUUUUUGCUUUUGCUUUUUGCUUUUUGCUUUUUGCUUUUUGCUUUUGUUUUUGCUUUAUAACAAUAAUAAUAAAUAAAUAUAAAAUUUUCAUAUAAUAUAAUAUUUUUAUUUUUACAUUAUAAUUUAUUAAUAAAUUUAUAAUACAAUAUAACUAAUAAUAAAUACUUAAAUAUGAAUAAAUUUAGAAAAUAUUAAUUUAAAAUUAAUAAGAAUAUAAAUAAUAAUAUAAUAUAUAAUUUACAUUAAUUACAAAAAAAUUAAUACAGUACAGUGUAGCGCCAAACAUUGUACAACAUUAUUAUAAUACAAUGUUAAUACAAUAAAGCAUAAUAGAAUACACCAACAUUAAAAUAAUGUAAUACAGCAUAAUACAAUACAGUGUGUCAAAUUCACCUUUUAGGGUGUGUCUAGAACAUAAUAUUACAUAGUAUUGCAAUACUAUGUUUGCUGGAUUGUGGUGCAUUACAUUAAUUUAUAACGCACCACAAUGCGCCAUUUUAAUUAUAUUUUAAUUGUUAUUAUAGUAAAGGGAAAUUAUCUCCUCACCACCUUUAUUUUUUCAUAUGUGCAUCUAACCACCACAAAAUUUGGACUUGUUUUUUGCACUAUUUUUUUAAGUUUGAAACAAUUAAUUGCUUUAACACUAAAAAUAAUCAUUUUACCUAAAAGACUAUUUUAUUCUACAAAAUCUUUAAAAAUUAAUAUCUUGUAAUUAUAAUUUUUUAUAAUUAUAAUUUCAUUUAAUUUUUGUAAUUAAAUUUAGUAUAGGGAAGUUUACAAAAUUAACAUGAAGAAAAAGCUCCCCGUAAUUAUUGUAAACGUCUCUAUAACUAAUAAGAAAAAUGACACUUACACCUCCAAGAUUUGGAGAAAUGGCCCCAAAGACCCUCAAAUUUUCAAGAAGGGACAUCAAGACCCCUUUUUAACCAUAAUACCCUUUGAAUUUAGUAAUUUAGAAAAUGGACUUUGAAGUUUUUGAUUAAUAAAACUUUAAUAUAAAUAAUAUAAUCUAUCUAGUACACUAAUAAUAUUAAAUUGUUUUUAACAUUUAAAAUAAUAUUAAUUUUUAAGUUAUUAUAUUUAUUUUAACAAUAUAUUUAUAUUUAUUAUAGAGAUUUUAAACAAAUCUUUGGGUUAAAUAGAUUUUACAAUUAACAAAAUAUCUCCCUAUUAAUAAUAUUAAAUUAUUUUUAAUAAUCAAAAUAAUUUUGACUUAAAUUUAUUUAUUUUAAUAUGAUGUUUCUAUUUAUUAUAAAAUUUUGGGGUCAGUUUUUUGGGUUGAUAAAGUCAAAGGGUAUUAUUGUUAAAAAAAAGGUCUUAGUGCCUUUAUUGAAAACAUGGGGAUUUUUGUGACCAUUUCCUUAAAUAUUCGGGGUAUAAGCGUCCUUUUUCCCAAUUAAUAUUAAGAAACUUCCUUAUACAAAUUAAAUGAAAUUAUAAUUACAAAAAAUUAACAGGAUAAUUUUUUAAAUGAAAGUAUAAUUAUAAAAUAAUUAACAUAUUAUAUUUGAGAUUUAUUUAUUUUAUUAAAUUUAGGGGUAUUAUUGUAAUUAUAAUUUUUUGUUUUUAAAAAUUUGUAGAAUAAAAUAUUUUGUUAGGCCAUGUUCGGUUGUAGGAAAAGAGAAGAGAGUAGAGGAGAGGAAAAGAGAGGAGGAGAAAAGAAAGGAGAAGAAAAGGGUGGAGAGUUUAAUUUCCUUUGUUCAGUUUAAGCUAGAAUUAGUAGAGGAAAUGAAUUUUAUAAUUUUUUAUUUAGAUAAAUUUACCAUUUUAUUAGAUUUUUAAUAUUUAUUAUUAAAUUAAUUAAAAAACUAGAAAUAUGUUUAACUAUUUUAAAGUUAGUGUCAAGGUUAAUGUUUCAUCCUUAAUGUCCUAACUACAUUUAUAGUGAUUUUAUUAAAAGUGCUUUUUCUUAUCAUUGUCAAAAGUGCUUUUACCAAUUAUUAUCCAAUUGCUUUUAUCAAAUGUAUUUUUUUAAAAUAAAAAACAUUAAUAUUAUUUCAAAAAUAGCCUAUAAUAUUACUACAAAAAUAUUAAAUUUCAAAUGGUCAAAUGAAAUAAUAAAAAAUACUUGGUCAAAUUUCAAGUGCUCAAAUAUCAAGUGCUCAAAUGAGUUAAGCUAGACAUUAAUAAGCCAUAACAUUCAAGCAUGAGUUAAAUUUCCUUAUUAAGGAAAACUUUAACCCAUGUUUCUCUAUCCUCAUCACAAAGACUAUAGAAAACAUUAAGCGCCGCACUAUCACAAGCAAUUUGGGUGGUGGCUUGAAGUCGUUCUACCGUUGUAAGACCACUAAUCUUCUUCAACUCUUCACUCAAUUAAGCAAGCUUAAUUGCAUUCAAUUAAGUACAACAGCUGUAAAAAAGCAAGAACAAUGAGUAAAAUAGUAAAAACAAUAGUAACCAGCAAGAAAAAUAGCAAGCAUAACAGCAGCAAACAGUAAAAACAGCAAAUGACAAGUGAAACGAUGGCUGAAAUACCAAAAAUAGCAAGUAAAACAGCAAAAACUAGCAACUAAAACAGUAAAAAAAUAGGAAAAAAAGUUAUAACCAGCAAGUAUAACAGUAAAGAUAGCAAGUAAAACAAUAACAAAAGUAGUAACCAACAAGUUUAACGGUAAAAAUAGCAAGUAAAACAACAAAACAAUAAGCAAGUAUAACAGUAAAAAUAACAAGUAAAAUAGUAAAAACAAUAAAAAAAAAGUAGUAAUAAGCAAGUAUAACGAUAAAAAACAACAAGUAGAAUAGCAAAAACAGCAAAGAAGAGUAGUAACCAAUAGGUAUAACAAUAAAAACAACAAGUAAAACAAUGAAAACAACAAAAAAGUAGUAACCAACAGGUAUAAUAGUAAAAGCAGCAAAAACAGCAAAAACUAGCAAGAAUAAUAGCAAAAACAGCAGUAACCAGCAAGUAUAACAACAUCAAACAGUAAAACAAAAAAACAGCAGAUAGAUUAGAAAAACACAUUAAUAAUAAGUAUUGUGGAGAAGAUAAUUUAUCAGAACAUUAAAUUCAUGUUAUUUUGAAACUUCAAACAAUUUACUGAACCUUCUUCAUUAACUUCAGCAUAUACAAAAUAAAAACAUCUCACAAAAUGUUUCUUGUAGCAAUUAAUUAAAUAAAUAACAACAACAGCAAAGUAACAGGUUACAAAGCAGCAAACUAUCUAAUGAAAAUUGAAAUUAACUUGGAAAGCUCUAUAUAAAAUUUUUUGAACACAAUCAAAGGAAUAAUUGCAAUUUCUCUACCAUUGCAUGAUGUUUAUUUCUAUUAAUUUGCAACAAGUCCAAAAUCGAAAGUACUAGCUCCUAAGAAUAAUUGUAAAUUUUACUAGCCAUCCAUUUCCUUCAAAAAAUCACUAGUCACACUUCAUCUUGUGCCUUGUUAUCGCAUUAAUAAAGUACAAUCCAAUAAGACAUAUAUAUAUAUAUUUUUUUUUGUGGUUUACACAUGAAGGUGGAAGCUAUAUUUGCUAAAACUCCACCCACAAAAAUACCUUAGCCGAAUAAUUAGGAUAAUUUUUUCUUAAUGUAAAGUCAACUACGGAUUGGAAAUAUGCUUCUAGAUGCAAUCAUAAUUUUUGGGGCAAAAUUAACAUUUUUUUUCUUAGACAGUUCAUCAAACACUUGGUAGGCAUAUAUCUAUAAAUUCAUCCAUUCACAAUAUAAAGUAACAAAAUCUUAAUCAAAGCCUCAUAAUAACUUAAUCAAACAAAAUGCAACAUCUAAAAUUUCAAAAUUUGUUCAAAUUAAAGCAACAGAAUCUAAAAUAGCCCUCUUCAAACUCAUUCUCCAUCAUCUCAUGAGCUAAACUCAUUAAAUAACCACAAUAGCCACACAAGAAUAAUUACAACAACUAACAAUAACAAAUUAAUAAUACCAUCAAAACGAUAAAAGUGACAACACUAAAACAUAUGAAAAGAGAUGAAAAUUUGUACCUAGGGUGAGAAACCAUGAAGCUAAAGCGUUGAUACUUGCUAAGAUAGCUCUGGCAAACAGACCCACUGUCGUAGCUCACCGACCAACAUAUGAGGCUCACUAUCGGAAGUUCAAAGAGAUUUUAAUUUUUGUUUCUAAGAUGAUUUGAUUUGAUUUUGAGUUAUGAGAGUUGUGAAAUCAUAGAAUAAUUUGCAAAUUAGGGUUAUUUGUGAAAGGGUAGAAUUGGGAAUAAAAAAAUAUAAUCAAGGGUAAAAUUGAGAAUUUAAGUCUUUUGGUUGUGUGGAAUUUAGAUUUCCUCACUCUUGCGAGAGAAGACCGAAUUCCUCUAGCUUACAGAAACUGGAUUUCCAUCAGAAUUUGACUUCCCAUCUAGUGUUGCCAACCAAAUAGUGGAAAUCAUAGAAGGAAUCCAAAUGCUCUCCUCUCCCGUGUGGUUU
This 41495-nucleotide long non-coding RNA is filed under the name Citrus maxima (pomelo). RNAcentral describes it as "long non-coding RNA (CMAX_LNC004059)". Lineage: Eukaryota; Viridiplantae; Streptophyta; Magnoliopsida; Sapindales; Rutaceae. The record is from RNAcentral.